RNAcentral lists this long non-coding RNA (222 nucleotides) under Lathyrus oleraceus (garden pea). RNAcentral's name for it is "Pisum sativum (pea) long non-coding RNA (PSAT_LNC021940)". Lineage: Eukaryota; Viridiplantae; Streptophyta; Magnoliopsida; Fabales; Fabaceae. The record is from RNAcentral.
AGACCUCCACAUGGGAGUUAGGAUAUUCACCAGAUAUCCUCACUAAUCCCAGAAUAUAUACUGAAUUAAUUAAUUCAGUUUUCUACACAUGUGCGAUGUCACAGACAUGAUGUCGUAACAUCGUACAUGACAUGUUGGUCCAGAUGUUGAACUUCUUCAACCCAACAUAUUAAAACAACAGAGAUGAUUACAUUAUUUGUUUUACAAAAUUAAUGCCAAUCC